Molecule: ribosomal RNA, 253 nt
Filed under: uncultured bacterium
Lineage: Bacteria
Description: partial 16S ribosomal RNA
Rfam family: Bacterial small subunit ribosomal RNA
Source: RNAcentral
UACGAAGGGGGCUAGCGUUGUUCGGAAUUACUGGGCGUAAAGCGCGCGCAGGCGGCUAUCCAAGUCAGUGGUGAAAGCCCGGAGCUCAACUCCGGAACUGCCUUUAAAACUGCAUAGCUUGAAUCCGGGAGAGGUGAGUGGAAUUCCGAGUGUAGAGGUGAAAUUCGUAGAUAUUCGGAAGAACACCAGUGGCGAAGGCGGCUCACUGGACCGGUAUUGACGCUGAGGUGCGAAAGCGUGGGGAGCAAACAGG